This 330-nucleotide ribosomal RNA is filed under the name Foraminifera environmental sample. RNAcentral describes it as "partial Bacterial small subunit ribosomal RNA". It matches the Rfam family "Bacterial small subunit ribosomal RNA", at positions 24 to 357 of the family's 1533-position model. Lineage: Eukaryota; Foraminifera. The record is from RNAcentral.
UCAGAUUGAACGCUGGCGGCAGGCCUAACACAUGCAAGUCGAGGGGUAGAAGUCUUCGGACUUUGAGACCGGCGCACGGGUGCGUAACGCGUAUGCAAUCUGCCUUACACUAAGGGAUAGCCCAGAGAAAUUUGGAUUAAUACCUUAUAGUAUAUGACUGGGACAUCCCUAACAUAUUAAAGUUCCAACGGUGUAAGAUGAGCAUGCGUCCCAUUAGCUUGUUGGUGUGGUAACGGCACACCAAGGCAAUGAUGGGUAGGGGUCCUGAGAGGGAGAUCCCCCACACUGGUACUGAGACACGGACCAGACUCCUACGGGAGGCAGCAGCGG